Molecule: long non-coding RNA, 1031 nt
Organism: Panicum virgatum (switchgrass)
Lineage: Eukaryota; Viridiplantae; Streptophyta; Magnoliopsida; Poales; Poaceae
Exons: 2
Source: RefSeq, a predicted model, not a curated record
CCGGCCUGCAAAUAAGCGGGGCCCACUGUCAGCAACAGAGUCGUCCGUGGAGUCCAUCCGUGGAGCUGCCGCCGUCGCCGCGCCCGCCGCCCCGCGCUCCCGCCCCCAUGGCCGCGCCCGCCGCCGCGCGCGCCCGCCCUAGCACACGCCGCCAAAUCCUCGCCGGCCGUGCGCGCGCCGUAGCGCCCUCGCCCGCCGCGCCACGUGCCGCCCCCGGCCUUCGUGCUGCGCGCUGGCAUGGCACUGCCUCCGCCUCCUCCGCCCAGCGCCGAUUCCUCCCGGCGCCGGGUCGCCUGCUGCUCGUCGUCGCCCGCUGUCACAUGCUCUCCCCUGCCUCAGUUCACCGGGCCGGGAACCACAUUGCAAACGCCGCUAUGAAAAUGCUUUUGUGCUGCGUAGCAGGUUAAAUUAUGUUUGAACUUUAUUAUGGAUAAUGGAGGUUGGAAACAGCAGAGGAAAACAGCUAACGUGGUAAAAAGAUUGAUAAGUUGCAAAGCCAGUUCAGGUGAUCUGACGUAGUGGUUACUAUCCGCCGGACCAAGAAAAGUGAUUCUCCGUGUAGCAAAGUUGGUACAUGUCAAAUGUUUCCUUUCAGAAUUCAAACCGUUUGAACAUGCAUUAUAGUUUGUAUCCACCGCUGACACAUUGUGAGGAAUGUACAGCCGUACAGGGCAACCGCAAGUGCAGAUGAUAGUUGAAGAUGAGCGUGAGGAGCCUGACGAUUGUAACUACCAUCAAGAGCCGAACGGUAUCCGUGUGUUGAAGCCCAAGGACUAUGAGCAUCGUGUUCCUCUUCUUCUAAAUGACUUCCUCAAGAUACACGAAGAAAUUGAGGAUAGGUCGUCACAUGAGCGACUUCGUGAUGAUCUAGUAGAGCAUAUAUAGGCAAGAUAUAGUGCUAGGUAGUUCUCAUGUAAUUUAUUCAUGUUAUAUUUAAUGUGUGAAAAUUAGAAUUCAGAUUCUUGUUCAGUUUACCUUUUGUGAAAAUCUGAAUGUUAUAUUUGGAUCUGCAAUAAAAUAAUGUUUCUAAA